RNAcentral lists this ribosomal RNA (1093 nucleotides) under uncultured picoeukaryote. RNAcentral's name for it is "bacterial SSU rRNA". It matches the Rfam family "Bacterial small subunit ribosomal RNA", at positions 28 to 1162 of the family's 1533-position model. The record is from RNAcentral.
AAGGAACGCUGGCAGCGUGCAUAACACAUGCAAGUCGAACGAUGAAGCAUUCUUCGGAAUGUGGAAGAGUGGCGAACGGGUGAGGAACACGUAAGAAUCUGCCCCUCGGUCGGGGACAACUUUUGGAAACGAAAGCUAAUACCCGAUACGCUGUGGAGUGAAAGAAUUUCGCCGAGGGAUGAUCUUGCGUCUGAUUAGCUAGUUGGUGCGGUAAUGGCGCACCAAGGCAACGAUCAGUAGCUGGUCUGAGAGGAUGAACAGCCACAUUGGAACUGAGACACGGUCCAAACUCCUACGGGAGGCAGCAGUGGGGAAUUUUCCGCAAUGGACGAAAGUCUGACGGAGCGACGCUGCGUGAAGGAUGACGGCCUGCGGGUUGUAAACUUCUUUUCUCGAAGAAGAAGCUCUGACGGUAUUCGAGGAAUAAGCAUCGGCUAACUCCGUGCCAGCAGCCGCGGUAAGACGGAGGAUGCAAGUGUUAUUCGGAAUGAUUGGGCGUAAAGCGUCUGUAGGCUGUAUAGAAAGUCUUUUGUUAAAUACCUCGGCUCAACCGAGAUCCAGCAAAGGAAACUUCUAUACUUGAGGUAAGUAGAGGUACAGGGAAUUCCCGGUGGAGCGGUGAAAUGCGUAGAUAUCGGGAGGAACACCAAUAUGGCGAAGGCACUGUACUGGGCUUUACCUGACGCUCAGAGACGAAAGCUAAAGGAGUGAUUAGGAUUAGAUACCCUAGUAAUUUUAGCCGUANACGAUGAANACUCACUGCCGAGCGAAAUACAACGAGCGGUGGUCAAGCUAACGCGUGAAGUUUUCCGCCUGGGGAUUACGCUUGCAAAAGUGAAACUCANAGGAAUUGACGGGGACCCGCACAAGCGGUGGAGUAUGUGGUUUAAUUCGAUGCAACACGAAGAACCUUACCAGGGUUUGAAAUCAUUUCAAAACUCCUUGAAAGAGGAGCCUCCUUCGGGAUGAAAUGACAGGUGGUGCAUGGCUGUCGUCAGCUCGUGUUGUGAAAUGUCGAGUUAAGUCUCGUAACGAGCGCAACCCAUGUCUCUAGUUGCUCAUUGAGUGCUUAANNNNNNCUGCCGACCAACAU